Non-coding RNA from Thamnophis sirtalis, 519 nucleotides. Lineage: Eukaryota; Metazoa; Chordata; Lepidosauria; Squamata; Natricidae. The record is from RefSeq and is a predicted model, not a curated record.
CCUCACACGCUCGCUUUCUUCUCCCCCUCAGAGGCGCUUCCUGCGCGGCGCGGAUCGGCUGAGGAGGGCCCAGCCGCUUUGGGGUUUGCCUCCGUCGGAGUUCAAGAUCCAAGAUUUGUUUUCAUGUUAACUGGAUAAGGUUUAUUACAUGGAUGCACUACAAAUUUGAGCAUGAUCUUUGAGAUUCUAUUGCUGGCUGGCACAUGGAGGAUUAUUUCAUUCAUUAAGGACAGAUUUGAAAUGGCUGAGCAACUGAAGCUGCCAAGGCAUCUUCUGGGCAUGGCUUCCAUUUGCUAUUCUAGCAAGAUCUGGAAAUCUGAAAGGACCCCCAGAUCAAAGUUCUCUUCGAGAGGAGUGCAGCCCUAUUAACAGUAAUAAAUGGAACUUCCGUGCAGCUGGGUGGCUUUUCUCUUAAUAACAUAUCUGUUUUGCUGAAAUUCUGUAUGAUUCUAUUCCACCCACCAGUUCCUCACAAUUUCCAGGGCACUGGUUUAAGAUUUCUGUUGCAUUUUCUGCUCA